ACUACCUGGAAGCUGUUAUCAUGCUGAAGCUAGUCCAGCAGCCUGGAAUUGUGACACACAUGACUGUUGAGGAUUGGGAGGGGAGAAGCCGGAUAGAGAAUGGUGUCUGUGUUGCAGUGAAGGAGCACAAAGUACCGUUGUCACACGAACAGGAACUUUGGUUCGACUUGUACUUCAAUGAGGUGCGGCCAGUAAUGCUGCAAGAAAACUGCACUGGCGAC
Non-coding RNA from Danio rerio (zebrafish), 221 nucleotides. The record is from RefSeq and is a predicted model, not a curated record. NCBI's taxonomy places the organism in Eukaryota, Metazoa, Chordata, Actinopteri, Cypriniformes, Danionidae.